Molecule: ribosomal RNA, 445 nt
Filed under: uncultured bacterium
Lineage: Bacteria
Description: partial 16S ribosomal RNA
Rfam family: Bacterial small subunit ribosomal RNA
Source: RNAcentral
UAGGGAAUCUUCCACAAUGGACGCAAGUCUGAUGGAGCAACGCCGCGUGAGUGAAGAAGGUUUUCGGACCGUAAAGCUCUGUUGUUGGUGAAGAAGGAUAGAGGUAGUAACUGGCCUUUAUUUGACGGUAAUCAACCAGAAAGUCACGGCUAACUACGUGCCAGCAGCCGCGGUAAUACGUAGGUGGCAAGCGUUGUCCGGAUUUAUUGGGCGUAAAGCGAGCGCAGGCGGAAGAAUAAGUCUGAUGUGAAAGCCCUCGGCUUAACCGAGGAAUUGCAUCGGAAACUGUUUUUCUUGAGUGCAGAAGAGGAGAGUAGAACUCCAUGUGUAGCGGUGGAAUGCGUAGAUAUAUGGAAGAAUACCAGUGGCGAAGGCGGCUCUCUGGUCUGCAACUGACGCUGAGGCUCGAAAGCAUGGGUAGCGAACAGGAUUAGAUACCCCUGGU